GAUGAACGCUGGCGGCGUGCCUAACACAUGCAAGUCGAGCGAAGCGAUUUAACGGAAGUUUUCGGAUGGAAGUUAAAUUGACUGAGCGGGCGACGGGUGAAGUAACGCGUGGGUAACCUGCCUCAUACAGCGGGAUAACAGUUAGAAAUGACUGCUGAUACCGCAUAAGCGCACAGCAUCGCAUGAUGCAGUGUGAAAAACUCCGGUGGUAUGAGAUGGACCCGCGUCUGAUUAGCUGGUUGGUGGGGUAACGGCCCACCAAGGCGACGAUCAGUAGCCGGCCUGAGAGGGUGAACGGCCACAUUGGAACUGAGACACGGUCCAA
RNAcentral lists this ribosomal RNA (325 nucleotides) under uncultured bacterium. RNAcentral describes it as "bacterial SSU rRNA". It matches the Rfam family "Bacterial small subunit ribosomal RNA", at positions 28 to 334 of the family's 1533-position model. The record is from RNAcentral.